GACGAACGCUGGCGGCGUGCUUAACACAUGCAAGUCGAGCGGUAAGGCCCUUUCGGGGGUACACGAGCGGCGAACGGGUGAGUAACACGUGGGUGACCUGCCCUCAGCUCUGGGAUAAGCCUGGGAAACCGGGUCUAAUACUGGAUAUGACUCCAUGACGCAUGUUGUGGGGUGGAAAGCCUUGUGCGGCUGAGGAUGGGCCCGCGGCCUAUCAGCUUGUUGGUGGGGUGANGGCCUACCAAGGCGACGACGGGUAGCCGGCCUGAGAGGGCGACCGGCCACACUGGGACUGAGACACGGCCCAGACUCCUACGGGAGGCAGCAGUGGGGAAUCUUGGACAAUGGGCGCAAGCCUGAUCCAGCCAUGCCGCGUGGGUGAAGAAGGCCUGGUGUAAGCC
Molecule: ribosomal RNA, 398 nt
Filed under: uncultured bacterium
Lineage: Bacteria
Description: bacterial SSU rRNA
Rfam family: Bacterial small subunit ribosomal RNA
Source: RNAcentral